Molecule: long non-coding RNA, 11153 nt
Organism: Oncorhynchus tshawytscha (Chinook salmon)
Lineage: Eukaryota; Metazoa; Chordata; Actinopteri; Salmoniformes; Salmonidae
Source: Ensembl
UCCCCGUCUCCCUCUCUCUCCCCGUCUCCCUCUCUCUCCCUCUCCCCGUCUCCCUCUCUCUCCCCGUCUCCCUCCCUCUCCCCGUCUCCCUCUCUCUCCCUCUCCCCGUCUCCCUCUCUCUCCCUCUCCCCCUCUCUCCGUCUCCCUCUCUAUGUUACUAAAGAGACGGCACUCAAGACAGCUAUACUGGAGAACAGUUAUUUAUUGAUGAGAAAAAUAAUGGAAUAACAAUAAACACGUUUUCGUGACCAAAAGCAGUGUCUUUUGAAAUAGACAGAUAUCAAAAUGUUGUAAUUGAACAUGAUUUGUAAAUAAUAAUAUAAAUAUGAGUGUUUUUUCCACAUUGCUUUGAGGUGUUGUUCAUUACAGAGCAUGUCUCAGCUCACUGCCCAUCCUGUCUACAUAAGGGCAAAGGGAAGGCUUAUAGCAACUGUGUGAAGGGUUAUAGAGGUUGUGUGAAGGGUUAUAGCACUACUGUAAUAUUCUGUCAAAUAAAUCUAAAAGCAUUGCUCAAACUAACGAGAUGUGGUUUUGUGUGUCCUUGGCUCUGAGAUGCUAAGGGAUCAUAUCACUCUUUCCUGCACUCAUAUUUCUUCCUCUUCUUUUCAAAUAAUCUCUCCCUUGGUCUUACUCUCUCUCACACACAGAAAAGGGAGUCACAGUGGCCAGCUAUUCUCAGCACCAAUGAGGGAAAGUGUAAAAUAUAGCCUAUCCCAGUGUCAAAACCGAAGCUUCAGAAGUCAGUGAUGGUGAAACCAGUCCUCAUACUCAGCUGGAGGAGAGACAGAACAAGAUGUCAUCACCAUUGACAAGUCAUUAUUACAUCACCAUUGACAAGUCAUUAUUACAUCACUAUUGACAAGUCAUUAUUACAUCACCAUUGACAAGUCAUUAUUACAUCACCAUUGAGAACUUCAGUUAGUUUAGUCCUGUUUUAAUAACAUGCUGUAUGAUAGUGUAUGAUGUGUGUUAUGGUAAACAAUAAAGGCCAUUUCUACUUCCUGUCUAUUUGAAUCAUAUUAUUCUUCCUUGUCCUCUUGUAGGGUUUUCCCUCAGAAACACAUAAAACCUUCAAAUGUAGUCAGUUAUACUGCCAAGAGAAAAACAGCAUUGACGGGUUAAAUAUUAGCUUAACAAGAAAUCAAUGGUUACACGGUUACAUCCAGAAAAAGACUGGAGCUCGAAACACUGACAAUCUUUUCAGAUUGUAUAGAGUAUAGGAGAAAGCACUGUAGGAUAAUGCCCUAGGGAAUGGGUAUAGGAGAAAGCACUGUAGGAUAAUGUGCAAGGAAAUGAGUAUAGGAGAAAGCACUGUAGGAUAAUGCGCUAGGGAAUGGGUAUAGGAGAAAGCACUGUAGGAUAAUGCGCUAGGGAAUGGGUAUAGGAGAAAGCACUGUAGGAUAAUGGCCUAGGGAAUGGGUAUAGGAGAAAGUACUGUAGGAUAAGGCGUUAGGGAAUGGGUAGGGGAGAAAGCACUGUAGGAUAAUGCGCUAGGGAAUGGGAAGGGGAGAAAGCACUGUAGGAUAAGGCGCUAGGGAAUGGGAAGGGAUAUAGGAGAAAGCACUGUAAAAUAAUGCCCUAGGGAAUGGGAAGGGGAGAAACCACUGUAGGAUAAGGCGCUAGGGAAUGGGAAGGGAUAUAGGAGAAAGCACUGUAAAAUAAUGCCCUAGGGAAUGGGAAGGGGAGAAAGCACUGUAGGAUAAGGCGCUAGGGAAUGGGAAGGGAUAUAGGAGAACGCACUGUAAAAUAAUGCCCUAGGGAAUGGGAAGGGGAGAAAACACUGUAGGAUAAGGCGCUAGGGAAUGGGUAGGGGAGAAAGUACUGUAGGAUAAGGCGCUAGGGAAUGGGAAGGGGAGAAAGCACUGUAGGAUAAGGCGCUAGGGAAUGGGUAGGGGAGAAAGUACUGUAGGAUAAGGCGCUAGGGAAUGGGUAGGGGAGAAAGUACUGUAGGAUAAGGCGCUAGGGAAUGGGUAGGGGAGAAAGUACUGUAGGAUAAGGCGCUAGGGAAUGGGAAGGGGAGAAAACACUGUAGGAUAAGGCGCUAGGGAAUGGGAAGGGGUAUAGGAGAAAGUACUGUAGGAUAAGGCGCUAGGGAAUGGGUAGGGGAGAAAGUACUGUAGGAUAAGGCGCUAGGGAAUGGGAAGGGGAGAAAGCACUGUAGGAUAAGGCGCUAGGGAAUGGGAAGGGGAGAAAGCACUGUAGGAUAAGGCGCUAGGGAAUGGGUAGGGGGGAAAGUACUGUAGGAUAAGGCGCUAGGGAAUGGGUAGGGUUGAAAGCACUGUAAGAUAAGGCGCUAGGGAAUGGGUAGGGGAGAAAGCACUGUAGGAUAAUGCGCUAUGGAAUGGGUAUAGGAGAAAGCACUGUAGGAUAAUGGCCUAGGGAAUGGGUAUAGGAGAAAGUACUGUAGGAUAAGGCGUUAGGGAAUGGGUAGGGGAGAAAGCACUGUAGGAUAAUGUGCUAGGGAUUGGGAAGGGGAGAAAGCACUGUAGGAUAAUGCGCUAGGGAAUGGGAAGGGGAGAAAGCACUGUAGGAUAAUGCGCUAGGGAAUGGGAAGGGAUAUAGGAGAAAGCACUGUAGGAUAAUGCGCAAGGGAAUGGGAAGGGGAGAAAGCACUGUAGGAUAAGGCGCUAGGGAAUGGGAAGGAAUAUAGGAGAAAGUACUGUAGGAUAAGGCGCUAGGGAAUGGGAAGGGAUAUAGGAGAAAGCACUGUAAAAUAAUGCCCUAGGGAAUGGGAAGGGGAGAAAGCAAUGUAGGAAAAGGCGCUAGGGAAUGGGAAGGGAUAUAGGAGAACGCACUGUAAAAUAAUGCCCUAGGGAAUGGGAAGGGGAGAAAGCACUAUAGGAUAAGGCGCUAGGGAAUGGGAAGGGGAGAAAGCACUGUAGGAUAAGGCGCUAGGGAAUGGGAAGGGAUAUAGGAGAAAGCACUGUAAAAUAAUGCCCUAGGGAAUGGGAAGGGGAGAAACCACUGUAGGAUAAGGCGCUAGGGAAUGGGAAGGGAUAUAGGAGAAAGCACUGUAAAAUAAUGCCCUAGGGAAUGGGAAGGGGAGAAAGCACUGUAGGAUAAGGCGCUAGGGAAUGGGAAGGGAUAUAGGAGAACGCACUGUAAAAUAAUGCCCUAGGGAAUGGGAAGGGGAGAAAACACUGUAGGAUAAGGCGCUAGGGAAUGGGUAGGGGAGAAAGUACUGUAGGAUAAGGCGCUAGGGAAUGGGAAGGGGAGAAAGCACUGUAGGAUAAGGCGCUAGGGAAUGGGUAGGGGAGAAAGUACUGUAGGAUAAGGCGCUAGGGAAUGGGUAGGGGAGAAAGUACUGUAGGAUAAGGCGCUAGGGAAUGGGUAGGGGAGAAAGUACUGUAGGAUAAGGCGCUAGGGAAUGGGAAGGGGAGAAAACACUGUAGGAUAAGGCGCUAGGGAAUGGGAAGGGGUAUAGGAGAAAGUACUGUAGGAUAAGGCGCUAGGGAAUGGGUAGGGGAGAAAGUACUGUAGGAUAAGGCGCUAGGGAAUGGGAAGGGGAGAAAGCACUGUAGGAUAAGGCGCUAGGGAAUGGGAAGGGGAGAAAGCACUGUAGGAUAAGGCGCUAGGGAAUGGGUAGGGGGAAAGUACUGUAGGAUAAGGCGCUAGGGAAUGGGUAGGGUUGAAAGCACUGUAAGAUAAGGCGCUAGGGAAUGGGUAGGGAGAAAGCACUGUAGGAUAAGGCGCUAGGGAAUGGGUAGGGGAGAAAGUACUGUAGGAUAAGGCGCUAGGGAAUGGUAUAGGAGAAAGCACUGUAGGAUAAGGCGCUAGGGAAUGGGUAGGGGACAAAGUACUGUAGGAUAAGGCGCUAGGAAAUGGGUAUAGGAGAAAGUACUGUAGGAUAAGGCGCUAGGGAAUGGGUAUAGGAGAAAGUACUGUAGGAUAAGGCGCUAGGGAAUGGGUAGGGGAGAAAGUACUGUAGGAUAAGGCGCUAGGGAAUGGGUAUAGGAGAAAGCACUGUAGGAUAAGGCGCUAGGGAAUGGGUAGGGGAGAAAGUACUGUAGGAUAAGGCGCUAGGGAAUGGGUCUACGAGAAAGUAAUGUAGGAUAAGGCGCUAGGGAAUGGGUAUAGGAGAAAGUACUGUAGGAUAAGGCGCUAGGGAAUGGGUAGGGGAGAAAGUACUGUAGGAUAAGGCGCUAGGGAAUGGGUAGGGGAGAAAGUACUGUAGGAUAAGGCGCUAGGGAAUGGGUAGGGGAGAAAGCACUGUAGGAUAAGGCGCUAGGGAAUGGGUAGGGGAGAAAGCACUGUAGGAUAAGGCGCUAGGGAAUGGGUAGGGGAGAAAGCACUGUAGGAUAAGGCGCUAGGGAAUGGGCAGGGGAGAAAGUACUGUAGGAUAAGGCGCUAGGGAAUGGGCAGGGGAGAAAGUACUGUAGGAUAAGGCGCUAGGGAAUGGGCAGGGGAGAAAGUACUGUAGGAUAAGGCACUAGGGAAUGGGUAGGGGAGAAAGUACUGUAGGAUAAGGCGCUAGGGAAUGGGUAGGGGAGAAAGUACUGUAGGAUAAGGCACUAGGGAAUGGGAAGGGAUAUAGGAGAAAGCAUUUAAAAGCAAAUACUUUUACUCAAGUAGUAUUUUACUGUGUGACUUUCACUUUUACCAUUUUCUUUAACCUUGAUUUAACUAGGCAAGUCAGUUAAGAACAAAUUCUUAUUUACAAUGACGGCCUUCCCCGGCCAAACCCUAAUCCAGACGACACUGGGCCUUCCCCAGCCAAACCCUAAUCCAGACGACACUGGGCCUUCUCCGGCCAAACCCUAAUCCAGACGACACUGGGCCUUCUCCGGCCAAACCCUAAUCCAGACGACACUGGGCCUUCCCGGCCAAACCCUAAUCCAGACGACACUGGGCCUUCCCCGGCCAAACCCUAAAUCCAGACGACACUGGGCCUUCCCCGGCCAAACCCUAAUCCAGACGACACUGGGCCUUCCCCGGCCAAACCCUAAUCCCGACCACACUGGGCCUUCCCCGGCCAAACCCUAAUCCCGACCACACUGGGCCAAUUGUGCGACGCACUAUGGGACUCCCAAUCACAGCCGGAUGUGAUACAGCCUGGAAUCAAACCAGGGUCUGUAGUGACGCCUUUACUGAGAUGCAGUGCCUUUUUCUAUUAAGGUAUCUUUACUUUUACUCAAGUAUGACAAUUGGGUACUUUUUCCACUAUUGAUGUUAGUGCCACGGAAUUCAUUUAAAAUAUUGAUGGGAGACUCUGUUACAGAGGAGUGUAAAUGCUUUUUCUUAGGCUGGAUCACGUUGUUGUAUUGUAUUGUUGUAUGUUUUAAUUCUGUAAUGUAUUGAUUGUUAAUGCCUUCUUGGCCAGGUCUCCCUUGAAAAAGAGACUGUGUCUCAAUAGGCUUUUCCUGGGUAAAUAAAAAUAAAAAUGGAAAGGGGGUAUAGAAGGCACUGUAGGAUAAGGCCCUAGGGAAUGGGACUAGGAUAUAGGAGAUGGAAUGGGACUAGGGUAUAGGAGAUGGAAUGGGACUAGGGUAUAGGAGAUGGAAUGGGACUAGGGUAUAGGAGAUGGAAUGGGACUAGGAUAUAGGAGAUGGAAUGGGACUAGGAUAUAGGAGAUGGAAUGGGACUAGGAUAUAGGAGAUGGAAUGGGACUAGGAUAUAGGAGAUGGAAUGGGACUAGGGUAUAGGAGAUGGAAUGGGACUAGGAUAUAGGAGAUGGAAUGGGACUAGGAUAUAGGAGAUGGAAUGGGACUAGGAUAUAGGAGAUGGAAUGGGACUAGGAUAUAGGAGAUGGAAUGGGACUAGGGUAUAGGAGAUGGAAUGGGACUAGGGUAUAGGAGAUGGAAUGGGACUAGGAUAUAGGAGAUGGAAUGGGACUAGGGUAUAGGAGAUGGAAUGGGACUAGGGUAUAGGAGAUGGAAUGGGACUAGGGUAUAGGAGAUGGAAUGUGACUAGGGUAUAGGAGAUGGAAUGGGACUAGGGUAUAGGAUAUGAAAUGGGACUAGGGUAUAGGAGAUGAAAUGGGACUAGGGUAUAGGAGAUGGAAUGGGACUAGGAUAUAGGAGAUGGAAUGGGACUAGGAUAUAGGAGAUGGAAUGGGACUAGGGUAUAGGAGAUGGAAUGGGACUAGGGUAUAGGAGAUGGAAUGGGACUAGGAUAUAGGAGAUGGAAUGGGACUAGGGUAUAGGAGAUGGAAUGGGACUAGGGUAUAGGAGAUGGAAUGGGACUAGGGUAUAGGAAAUGGAAUGGGACUAGGGUAUAGGAGAUGGAAUGGGACUAGGGUAUAGGAGAUGGAAUGGGACUAGGGUAUAGGAGAUGGAAUGGGACUAGGGUAUAGGAGAUGGAAUGGGACUAGGGUAUAGGAGAUGGAAUGGGACUAGAGUAUAGGAGAUGGAAUGGGACUAGGGUAUAGGAGAUGGAAUGGGACUAGAGUAUAGGAGAUGGAAUGGGACUAGAGUAUAGGAGAUGGAAUGGGACUAGGGUAUAGGAGAUGGAAUGGGACUAGAGUAUAGGAGAUGGAAUGGGACUAGGGUAUAGGAGAUGGAAUGGGACUAGGGUAUAGGAGAUGGAAUGGGACUAGGGUAUAGGAGAUGGAAUGGGACUAGGGUAUAGGAGAUGGAAUGGGACUAGAGUAUAGGAGAUGGAAUGGGACUAGGGUAUAGGAGAUGGAAUGGGACUAGGGUAUAGGAGAUGGAAUGGGAGAGUGGGGUAGAGGAGAGACAGGCCCUAGGGAAUGGGACUAGGGUAUAGGAGAUGGAAUCAGAGAGGGGGGGGUAGAGGAGAGACAGGAGAAGGCACUGUAGGAUAAGCAGGGUUGGGUAGGUUACUUUCUAAACAAGUUACCUGUCCAAAAUUGUAAUCAGAAAUAAAACUUUUGGAUUACCCAAACUCAGUAACAUAAUCUGAUUACAUUACAUUUAUUUUAGAUGACUUUCCCCUUAAGAGGUAUAAGAAGAAGACAAAAAUGUAUGUUACCAAUUGAACGACAUUGCAGGAUAAAUCAAUGUUAAAGUUUACAUAGCUGGUCAUAAAUGGGUGUUACAUUUGACUUUAUGGGUUAUGUAGGCUUCUUCUAACCCAUCGCUUUCUACUCCAACGAUUAAACUAUAUAUUUACAUUAAAAACCAGUCUAUCAGAAUUCCAGUCAUUACAAUAAAUGAUAUACCCCUUGACCUUCAAGAAUAGGACUUGGAAAUACAGAAGUAUAGAUCAGCCAAACGGUUUUAUCUGAGUAUAACCCCAAAACGAAGGACUUAUUAGCCAGCCCUACUGUGUUGUUUAUGAUUUUGUCGUUGAGGACUGAUUGGGUUUAUUGAUUCUAAUUGAAAAAAUAAAUGCUUCGCUCGUGGAAUGGCAAGCUUUGAACACUGAAAAGUGCUAUUUACAUGUGAAAAAUGAAUGCCAUGUGCUGCAUUUGCUAUAUGUCUAUUGUUUACCUUUUAGUUGGCGACACUUUGAUAUCUUGAUAAUAUGCAGCUGUUUAAAGGGCAACUCCACAGAUGAAACAAUAACAAAAUGGGCACCCCGCCUCUGUUUUGGUAAAAAGCGGAGGGAUGGGCCUGGAGAAAUGUAACCACUCUCAGAUGAAUAGACAGAGCUACGGAUGUAAGGACUGACCAUCCAUGAUAUCAAAAUUAUAGUUUUAACUACAGUAUGUUAUGAGGCUAUACCUUGUUUGAUUACAUUUACAAUGUUUACAAACAUUGGAGAAAAACAAGCUUCUAUUUUGGGUUCUGAUGGAGUGUGGCUGUUGAACUAAGCUCAUGAGGCAUUUAUAAGUUAUAUUCUUCAACAAUUAAUGGAUAUAUACAGGUAUAUAUAAUGUAUAAGUCCAAAAAUGGAUGUACCAUCUACAGAUUGACCCUUUAAGUCUAUCAAAAGUGAAGGAGUUUGAGCAUGUGUCCAGUAGGCCUAUGGAUUUAUUUUUAUCAACUUGAAUUAUAUUGUGCAAUAAAAGCACCACGUUUAUUCCAUAUGCUGGGAUCCGCACUAUGCAGCUGUUAUUCCAUAUGCUGGGAUCUGCACUAUGCAGCUGUUAUUCCAUAUGCUGGGAUCCGCACUAUGCGGCUGUUAUUCCAUAUGCUGGGAUCCGCACUGUGCAGCUGUUAUUCCAUAUGCUGGGAUCUGCACUAUGCAGCUGUUAUUCCAUAUGCUGGGAUCCGCACUAUGCAGCUGUUAUUCCAUAUGCUGGGAUCCGCACUAUGCAGCUGUUAUUCCAUAUGCUGGGAUCCGCACUAUGCAGCUGUUAUUCCAUAUGCUGGGAUCUGCACUGUGCAGCUGUUAUUCCAUAUGCUGGGAUCUGCACUAUGCAGCUGUUAUUCCAUAUGCUGGGAUCUGCACUGUGCAGCUGUUAUUCCAUAUGCUGGGAUCUGCACUAUGCAGCUGUUAUUCCAUUAGCUGGGAUCCGCACUAUGCAGCUGUUAUUCCAUAUGCUGGGAUCCGCACUAUGCAGCUGUUAUUCCAUUAGCUGGGAUCCGCACUAUGCAGCUGUUAUUCCAUAUGCUGGGAUCUGCACUGUGCAGCUGUUAUUCCAUAUGCUGGGAUCCGCACUAUGCAGCUGUUAUUCCAUAUGCUGGGAUCUGCACUGUGCAGCUGUUAUUCCAUAUGCUGGGAUCUGCACUAUGCAGCUGUUAUUCCAUAUGCUGGGAUCCGCACUAUGCAGCUGUUAUUCCAUAUGCUGGGAUCCGCACUAUGCAACUGUUAUUCCAUAUGCUGGGAUCCGCACUAUGCAACUUCUUGAAUUCAACCAUUAUUGGGUUCAAAACCACAUUUAGAUUUGUGAACAUACAACCACAAUCCGUAAGGCAAAAAUAGCUAAAUAAGAGAGCAGCAGUGUGAUUCACAUCAAUACGCUAUGUAGAUAUCAGUAAUUAGUGAUAUCGGUAUCACUGUAGACGACACCACUACUGUCAUCCUUUACCUCCAAGCCUUUAUUCAAGUUGGAUCAUCUUUGGAUGCCGACAGCAGUCACACCAUUGGAAGACAUGGCUUGGACUGAAACCCACAAUAGCCCUUUCCUGCUCUUUUCCCGCGAUCCAUCAAACACAUUUGAUGUGUUAUCAUAGUGGUCUCUGACUUGUGGUCAGACUCGCUCAGGUGGAACAAACUUAAUACAUUUGCGCCUUCUUCAAUGCUGAUUUGAAUGUCAUUGAGAAAACAGAGAGGUGUCAAUAUUUUUUUUCAGAAACAUCCUUUCUGAAUUUAAAAGUAACCCUGGAAAUAAUCUUCUAGUUUUUCAAAAGUAUCUGUAAUCUGAUUACAAUAUUUUCGUUUGUAACGGAUUACAGUUACCGUUACAUGUAAACUCCCCAACCCUGAGGAUAAGGCACUGGAGAAUGAGAGAGAGGGGGUAGAGAGAAAGGAAUGGGAGAGAGGGAAUAGAGGAGAUGGAAUGGGAGAGUGGGUGUCGAGGAGAAGGAAUGGGAGAGGGGGGAUAGAGGAGAUGGAAUGGGAGAGAGGGGAUAGAGGAGAAGGAAUGGGAGAGAGGGAAUAGAGGAGAAGGAAUGGGAGAGGGGGAAUAGAGGAGAAGGAAUGGGAGAGGGGGUAGAUGGGAAGAAAUGGGACAGAGGGGAUAGAGGAUAAGGAAUGGGAGAGGGGGUGUCGAGGAGAAGGAAUGGGAGAGAGGGGAUAGAGGAGAUGGAAUGGGAGAGAGGGAUAGAGGAGAAGGAAUGGGAGAGAGGGGAUAGAAGAGAUGGAAUGGGAGAGAGGGGAUAGAGGAAAAGGAAUGGGAGAGAGGGAAUAGAGGAGAUGGAAUGGGAGAGGGGGUAGAUGGGAAGAAAUGGGACAGAGGGGAUAGAGGAUAAGGAAUGGGAGAGAGGGAAUAGAGGAGAAGGAAUGGGAGAGGGGGUAGAUGGGAAGAAAUGGGACAGAGGGGAUAGAGGAUAAGGAAUGGGAGAGGGGGUGUCGAGGAGAAGGAAUGGAAGAGAGGGAUAGAGGAGAUGGAAUGGGAGAGGGGGUGUCGAGGAGAAGGAAUGGGAGGGAGGGGAUAGAGGAUAAGGAAUGGGAGAGGGGGUGUCGAGGAGAAGGAAUGGGGGAGAGGGGAUAGAGGAGAUGGAAUGGGAGAGAGGGGAUAGAGGAGAUGGAAUGGGGGAGAGGGGAUAGAAGAGAAGGAAUGGGAGGGGCUGCUUUAUGCUAAAGAUUAAACAACUUGUGACAUCAUCAGAUAAACACUCAAUUCUAUCACGUAUCUCCUGUUUCCACUCGUUCCUAUUUUUUUACAACAGUCAAAGAACGUCAACAUAUACAUUUAUAUAAAACAUAAUCAUGAACGUUAAAGUUUAAUGUCAAAAACAGUCCUUUAUAUGACUUGGUGUGUCUUCAGUUUUUAUCCUGUGUUCCUACUGAGGUUGCCAGGACAACAGCACCACCAUGUGGUGACGUGAACAACCAGCAGCCUGUGGUGUCUGCCAGUGUGUCUCAGUCAGGAUCCAUCCUGGGGACCCACUGUGUGUAGGCUGGACUUCCCUCCAGCUCAGCAUCAAUAAGACACUAAUUAGUACAUGGACAACUGCAUGAUGGGUACAGUAGUUUGUGCUACUGAAGGAAGGGGGCCUUGGACACCAGCACAGCUCAACAAAACAACAACAUUAUGUGUUGAGAAGAGGUUCAGUCACACUGAUAGAGGAAGGCCUUAGUGCUGGUGUGGUUUCUUCCCUUCAUCUCUGAAACAUAAAACGUGCACACUACACUACAUUGAUGAAAGCUAAAAAUCUAUCUGCAAAAUUAAAGCUGAAAAAAAAAGUAAUUAAAAAAUAAAAUAACAAAUACAAAUACAAAAAAAAUAAAACAUAAAACGUGCCCAGUAAAAAACACUGAACCACUGAACACAUAAUCAUGCUGAUAAUCCUAUUUGUGAAUAACAACAAUAAUGAUCAACUCAGUUCUCACAGGGUGUGUAGCCUGAUGAUGCCACUGAAUGUCUUCUCCAUCCCAGGAGCCAAAUGGUUUCUGAGGGCGAGGGGAGGGGCGUGGAGUGUUGGGGUAGGGGUCUGUUAGGGGGGCGUGGAGUGUUGGGAUAGGGGUCUGUUAGGGGGCGUGGAGUGUUGGGGUAGGGGUCUGUUAGGGGGCGUGGAGUGUUGGGGUAGGGGUCUGUUAGGGGGCGUGGAGUGUUGGGGUAGGGGUCUGUUAGGGGGCGUGGAGUGUUGGGAUAGGGGUCUGUUAGGGGGCGUGGAGUGUUGGGGUAGGGGUCUGUUAGGGGG